GACGAACGCUGGCGGCGUGCCUAAUACAUGCAAGUCGAGCGGACGAAUCGAAAGCUUGCUUUUGAAUCGUUAGCGGCGGACGGGUGAGUAACACGUGGGCAACCUGCUCUGUAGACGGGGAUAACACCGAGAAAUCGGUGCUAAUACCGGCUAACACGACCUGUCGCAUGACGUUUCGUUGAAAGGCGGCGCACGCUGCCGCUACAGGAUGGGCCCGCGGCGCAUUAGCUAGUUGGUGAGGUAACGGCUCACCAAGGCGACGAUGCGUAGCCGACCUGAGAGGGUGAUCGGCCACACUGGGACUGAGACACGGCCCAGACUCCUACGGGAGGCAGCAGUAGGGAAUCUUCCGCAAUGGACGAAAGUCUGACGGAGCAACGCCGCGUGAGCGAAGAAGGCCUUCGGGUCGUAAAGCUCUGUUGUUAGGGAAGAACAAGUAACGUAGUAACUGACGUUACUAUGACGGUACCUAACGAGAAAGCAACGGCUAACUACGUG
This 498-nucleotide ribosomal RNA is filed under the name uncultured bacterium. RNAcentral describes it as "partial 16S ribosomal RNA". It matches the Rfam family "Bacterial small subunit ribosomal RNA", at positions 28 to 507 of the family's 1533-position model. The record is from RNAcentral.